AAAUUUAAAUCUUAUGAUAAUAUCCCGAGGUAGUAGGGGCUAUAUAGUAAUUAAGUUGUUUUUGUAGCAAUAAAAUUGGUAAUUAUUAUAUAGUAAUGAAAUAUUAGACGGUUACUUGGAUAUCUGGUUGUUAAAAGUGGUGGUAUAUACCUAAAAAAUUAUUAGGGAUUAGCUUGAUAAUAGUAUAGUAUAAUAUAUGUCUUGAAAGGAGAAGGUCUUAAUAGUAGACAAUAUUAGUGUGUUAUUACUAUAAUUUAAAAUAUAAAGAUUAAAUUUGAUUACUAUAUUUAAUAACAAUAAAAUAGAUUUAUAACAUUUUAUUAAUAAUGAUAGUAUGAGUAAGUAAAUUUUAGUAAAUAAUAUUUUAAAAAUAAAUAAAAUAAAUAAAUGGGAGAUAAUUUGUAAGAAUUAGGCAAAUAUACCUCUUAAAUGUUUAUCAAAAACAUUUCUCUUAGUCUAAAUAUAAUUAAGAGUAGGGCCUGCCCGGUGAUUUAAACGGCUGCGGUAUUUUGCCCGUACAAAGGUAGCAAAAUAAUUUGUUCUUUAAUUGGGGACUGGUAUGAAUGGUUAUAUAAAAGGUAUACUGUUUAAAGUUAAAAAUAUAAUUUUAUUAUUAAGUGAAAAGGCUUAAAUAUAUUAAAGUGACAAGAAGACCCUAAGAGCUUUAUAGGAUUUUAUAUGUUAGUUAGUAAGAAUAAUAGGCUAAUAUAUAAAAUUUUAUUUUACUGGGGCGGUAAAUAUAUUAACAAUUAUUAAAAAUACUAGAAUGUUAGAAUUAGUUGAAUUUUUAUCUAUGUUAGAAUAAAUAACUAGUUACCUUAGGGAUAACAGCAUAAUCUUUUUAGAGAGAUCAUAUUGACAAAAAGGUUUGUGACCUCGAUGUUGGAUUUAGAUGUCUUUAAGGUGCAGCAGCUUUAUAAGAUGUCUGUUCGACCAUUAAAAUUA
This 945-nucleotide ribosomal RNA is filed under the name Euphilomedes japonica. RNAcentral's name for it is "partial 16S ribosomal RNA". The stretch from base 824 to 945 matches the Rfam family "Archaeal large subunit ribosomal RNA", at positions 2542 to 2665 of the family's 2987-position model. Lineage: Eukaryota; Metazoa; Arthropoda; Ostracoda; Myodocopida; Philomedidae. The record is from RNAcentral.